UACAGAGGGUGCAAGCGUUGUUCGGAAUUACUGGGCGUAAAGCGUGCGCAGGCGGUUUUGUAAGUCUGUCGUGAAAUCCCCCGGGCUCAACCUGGGAAUUGCGAUGGAGACUGCAAGGCUAGAAUCUGGCAGAGGGGGGUAGAAUUCCACGUGUAGCAGUGAAAUGCGUAGAGAUGUGGAGGAACACCGAUGGCGAAGGCAGCCCCCUGGGUCAAGAUUGACGCUCAUGCACGAAAGGCGUGGGGAGCAAACAGG
This 255-nucleotide ribosomal RNA is filed under the name uncultured bacterium. RNAcentral's name for it is "partial 16S ribosomal RNA". It matches the Rfam family "Bacterial small subunit ribosomal RNA", at positions 524 to 776 of the family's 1533-position model. The record is from RNAcentral.